UUUUUUCACGUGUGAAAACAUCUAUUGGGAAAAUGGAAAAAUCAUUUGACCUCAUAUUCCUCAUAGCUGACAUGACAAAACCAAAAUGUGGUGGUGAGCCAACUUCAAUUUUGCAGAAACUGACUUGGAAAGAACUGAUUACCUGAAGGACCGUGAGGAUCAAAGUUGUCCCACUGACCAGGCUGUAAACUUUGGAACUGAUAAGUGAGAGAGAUAAGAAACGUUAAUGGACACCAGAACGGCUACUGCAGAGCUGGGCUGGACGGCCAAUCCUGCGUCCGGGUGGGAAGAAGUCAGUGGCUACGAUGAAAACCUGAACACCAUCCGCACCUACCAGGUGUGCAAUGUCUUCGAGCCCAACCAGAACAAUUGGCUGCUCACCACCUUCAUCAACCGGCGGGGGGCCCAUCGCAUCUACACAGAGAUGCGCUUCACUGUGAGAGACUGCAGCAGCCUCCCUAAUGUCCCAGGAUCCUGCAAGGAGACCUUCAACUUGUAUUACUAUGAGACUGACUCUGUCAUUGCCACCAAGAAGUCAGCCUUCUGGUCUGAGGCCCCCUACCU
This 564-nucleotide long non-coding RNA is filed under the name Homo sapiens (human). RNAcentral describes it as "novel transcrpt". The record is from RNAcentral. Lineage: Eukaryota; Metazoa; Chordata; Mammalia; Primates; Hominidae.